AGGAGGAGGCAUGGAGAAAGGAUACUUUGGAGGACACCUCCUGUGGACUGCAUGGUCCCACCCUCUCUGAGAUUACACAGGCCUCACUUCACAUGAAUCCCCAUGAAGAAGACACACAUCUGACAAACAUUUCUGACUCACUGAGACAGAAACUGAAUUACAUAAAGCAGGGCUUAGGUUACCACAUGCGAAUGAAUCAACAAUUUGGCCGAAAUAACUUUGACACUCCACCUGGUGAGAGUAGGGUGGUGAAGAAGACCUGGCCAGCUAAAAGGGACCUAGGUCCAUGUCAUCCAUCAGCUUGACAUGGAAGAUGCUGUGCCAAGCUUUCUCAUUAUCCUGUCUCUGAGUGUCUAAUCAGUGUCCAGCAUGUGAUUAUGUCCUCAGAGGGAAGAAGAGUGUGCUUCCCUAUUCCUUCCAGCUGAAGACAAGCAGGAUGGCUGGGGCUGGAGCAACCCUGUUGGAUCAGGAGACAGAAGCUACAGUUGAAGUUGGCAGAGCAGUUGGGCUGAGGAAGCCUGUGUCUAGGAGUCUGGAAAGCUGCCACAGCCCAGUACUCAGGAUCCAGACCGUUACAUGCGGGAGAACACAUUUUUAUCUUGUUGAGCCACAGUUUGGGUUUGUCACAGCAGCUGAACAAAGGUCCUAGUAAUAGAAAUAAGAUAGCCAAACCAUAAAUAAAGCCUAGUCAAAGUC
Molecule: long non-coding RNA, 696 nt
Organism: Peromyscus eremicus (cactus mouse)
Lineage: Eukaryota; Metazoa; Chordata; Mammalia; Rodentia; Cricetidae
Exons: 3
Source: RefSeq, a predicted model, not a curated record